AGUGAACGCUGGCGGUAGGCCUAACACAUGCAAGUCGAACGGCAGCACAGUAAGAGCUUGCUCUUACGGGUGGCGAGUGGCGGACGGGUGAGGAAUACAUCGGAAUCUACUUUUUCGUGGGGGAUAACGUAGGGAAACUUACGCUAAUACCGCAUACGACCUACGGGUGAAAGCAGUGGAUCUUCGGACCUUGCGCGAUUGAAUGAGCCGAUGUCGGAUUAGCUAGUUGGCGGGGUAAAGGCCCACCAAGGCGACGAUCCGUAGCUGGUCUGAGAGGAUGAUCAGCCACACUGGAACUGAGACACGGUCCAGACUCCUACGGGAGGCAGCAGUGGGGAAUAUUGGACAAUGGGCGCAAGCCUGAUCCAGCCAUGCCGCGUGGGUGAAGAAGGCCUUCGGGUUGUAAAGCCCUUUUGUUGGGAAAGAAAAGCAGCAGGUUAAUACCCCGCUGUUCUGACGGUACCCAAAGAAUAAGCACCGGCUAACUUCGUG
RNAcentral lists this ribosomal RNA (492 nucleotides) under uncultured bacterium. RNAcentral describes it as "partial 16S ribosomal RNA". It matches the Rfam family "Bacterial small subunit ribosomal RNA", at positions 29 to 507 of the family's 1533-position model. The record is from RNAcentral.